UUUAUAGUAAAUUAAAUAGUUAAUUAAUAAUAAAUAAACUAAUUAAGAAUAAAUUAAUGGUAAAUUAAUUAAUUAUAAUUAAAAAAUAAAUUAACAAUUAAUUAAUUAUUAAUUACUAAAUAAAUAAAUAAAGUAAUUAUUAAUAAUUAUAAAUAACAAUAAUUUAAUUAAUAAUUAUAAAUAAUAAAUUAAUAAAUUAUUUUAUUAUUUAAGCACUAAAUAAUAAUUUAAAUAUAUUAAUUAAAUUAAUUAAUUAUUUAAUAUCAUAAUUAAAAUUAUUUUUAGAUUUUAAUUAACAUUAUUCUCAACUGGGAGUAAGAUUAUUUCAGAGAAAAAGUGAAACAUCAGUUCUAGUCUUAUACCGACUUAUUUUAGAAAUUUAAAAAUUAUUAUUUUUGAGUGCUAAAUGCAGCGUUUGGAAAUAAAUGAGAGAAUAAGAAAUUAUUCCCACUCUGGUUCCACAACCAAACGCUACCUUGAAGAUGGAGUCUCUUUCCAAAUCCCCAC
RNAcentral lists this long non-coding RNA (507 nucleotides) under Ananas comosus (pineapple). RNAcentral's name for it is "long non-coding RNA (ACOM_LNC007019)". Lineage: Eukaryota; Viridiplantae; Streptophyta; Magnoliopsida; Poales; Bromeliaceae. The record is from RNAcentral.